UAUUCCAUAUGCAUAUUUAGAGAUAAUUAGGAGAUAAAGAAGAGAUAAUGUUAGGAUAAUUAUGCCAAGUAAUUGACUUAAUCAAAUCUUCUUGGGCUCACAAUUAAGAGUCCAAUAAAAUUCAAAUAGAUUUAGGUUAGGUUCAAGGCUAUAGACUUGAUCAAAUCGAAGUUUCGAGAAGAAUUAGGUUUAACCGUGUGCUAGUAUGGUUCUCA
This 215-nucleotide long non-coding RNA is filed under the name Elaeis guineensis (African oil palm). RNAcentral's name for it is "long non-coding RNA (EGUI_LNC046723)". Lineage: Eukaryota; Viridiplantae; Streptophyta; Magnoliopsida; Arecales; Arecaceae. The record is from RNAcentral.